This is an RNA transcript of Urocitellus parryii (Arctic ground squirrel), 557 nucleotides long. RefSeq lists it as uncharacterized. The record is from RefSeq and is a predicted model, not a curated record. Lineage: Eukaryota; Metazoa; Chordata; Mammalia; Rodentia; Sciuridae.
UUCCCUGGUCGUGUCACAGCUGGAACUUGGGGUCCUAGGCUAUGGAGGUGGGGUGGGUUUUAUGGUAGGUGGGGGUUAUGUAGGCGUUGUUGUCGGUGGUGUCAGAAAUUUGAAGCGAGAGAGAGUCUUGGAUCGGAAGGCUAAGGAAGCUGUUCGUGAAAAGUGCCACGUAGCAAAGAAGUGCGGAGUCCGAGAGAGAUGACAGGCUGCCAGUUGGAUGGUAUACGAGAAACAGUACCAUUCUUCCUGUUAAUGAACCCUUUUUUAAGUCAUUUUUUCUCAUUUGACCCUUCCAUGGAGCAGAAGCAAAUUGCGUGAAAUUACCUCCAAGGAUUACAUUUAUUACUGGCCAAUGAGAACCCCUCGCCUUGUUUUACAAACUCUUAAUCCUAUGUCAUUCUGAUGCCGAAAACAAGCUGGGUCCUGGGCCUCCUAUUCUUUCAACUUUCCCCAGCUGGAGGGACCUCAUUCUGCACUUAAUAUUCCCCAUAAAUAUCACACGCUAAAGACCCCCUGACUUCCAGCAAGUCCACAUUAAACAUGUGACAUGUCACGCA